This is a long non-coding RNA of Myotis daubentonii (Daubenton's bat), 1566 nucleotides long. RefSeq lists it as uncharacterized. The record is from RefSeq and is a predicted model, not a curated record. Lineage: Eukaryota; Metazoa; Chordata; Mammalia; Chiroptera; Vespertilionidae. The transcript has 5 exons.
CACCUUCUCCUCACGGGACACCCCGGUGCCGGCGCCGGAGUCCGUCUCUUUGGGCUGCAUCUCCAGGACCGUGCGGAACAGCUUCUCCGAGGUGACCGUCAGGAAGCCGAUCUCCGCGUUGGGGUGCAGGCCGUACAGGUCAGACCUCACGCCGCCCCCCCCGCCUGCCCUGGACAGUGGCACCCCGCCAGGCCCUUUGCAGAGUCCAGGCCCGCGCGUACAGGCUGUUCGCACCAAGGCUGGCUUUACGCGGUGUAUGUCGAUUUCACUCCUUUCUGCGCGAAGGAGUGGGUCCAGCACGGGGUCCACGGUCUCGCCGAUGUUCUCAAUGAGCAAGGUGUCCCCCUCGGAGAUGGCGCGCUCGAUGAUGUCCAGCUGGGCGUCCACGAUGAGCGGCCAGCGCUCCGUGUUGCACAGGAUGGUGGCGUUCUCCGUGGACAUGCGGUCGCUGGGGAGCCCCUGGUUGUUCCACGUGGCCACGCCCGCAUCGUCAGUGAGCAGGCUCAAGGGGUCCAGACCCUCCGUGAUGGGGAUGGGGACCUGCCGGGAGGUGCAGCCUUAGUGCCCUCGGGAGGCGCCCGCGGUCCAGUCCCAGGGCCUCUGCCGUCAGACGGCGGGCGCGCGACCACCUGGGAGGACGUCAGCGCGGGCCACGGGGCCACAGUCGGACCCGAAUGGCUGGAGCCUCGGUCUCGGGAUGCAGGGAGUUUGGGGGCCGCCUGCCCGGCGGGCCCCUCUCCGGGUGUCCCGGGCCGCGGGCCUCCUACCUUUAACUUGUUGAUGUAGGGGACCCAGAACUUCUCCAUCAGCUCGUUCCGGUACUUCUUGGUGAAGUAGCCCACGUAGGAGACGAAGGCCGAGAUGAGCAGCACGUCCCCGCACAGCGUGACCCCCUGGGACCUGAAGCUCUGCACCGACUCCGCCCAGCGGACGUUCUCGGACGCCAGGCCGCCCACCAGCCUGAGGGGACCCAGGUCCGUGGGGUCAGCGGAGGGAGCACAUCUGGGUGAACGACGUUCGGAGGAGAGGAGCGAGGCGGGGCGCCCCCACCUCCCCGUCCGUGACCCCCGCCUUGCCCGUCCGCACGUCCGUACCUUGCUCCGCGCUUCCGGUGGAGAAUGCUUUGGGGGCUUGGGGGGUAAGUGCUUCGGGGAGCACACCAGUGUUGCCCUCUGCGUGUUGCUACGGCGACGCCAAUGCCGUGACGUCUCCCCCGUCUGCCCCACGUGCUGGGGCUGCCCCUGGACACCCCCAGCCCGCGCUCUGGCUGGCGGGAAGCUGCGGGCUCCCCUCUCUGGGGGGAUAAGCGGGGGGUUGGGGAGCAGGUUACCUGUUGGCCAGCGAGAUCACCCUGUUGGUGGCGUCGGCCUCCUGCUGGCACUUGAUUUUCUCAGCCGUGGCUUUUUCAAACGCCGACGUCAGGUUGCUCAGCUUGUCCUGGGCCUCGGCCAGCUCGGCGUUGGCCUCCUCCAGCGCCUGCCGCUUGGGCGCCACGUCGCAGUACACCUCGUAGAAGCGCACGAUGUUGAUGCACCAGGAGCACAGCCCCGCGGCCGCCGUGGACUU